AAAGGGAAAAGGGGAAAAGGGGAAAAGGGGAAAAGGGGAAAAGGGGAAAAGGGGAAAAGGGGAAAAGGGGAAAAGGGGAAAAGGGGAAAAGGGGAAAAGGGGAAAAGGGGAAAAGGGGAAAAGGGGAAAAGGGGAGGUGCAGCCAAAGUGGGCUUCUGAGUGCUUGCCUCCCCCAAAGCCCUAUUCCUUGCAUCUUUCAGCUCCUGCAUUUCACACAUCAUCUCCUCAGUCCCAGAGCAAUCAGGGGGACCCAUCCCACACCCCUAGUACCUACAUGCCCUGUCAAGCUACAACUGGGUGCAGAUAAUUUCAAAACAAACCUCAUGAAGUGUCACCUCAUGAAGCCCACCCAGUGAAUUUGUUCAGCAGCAGCUCCUCUCUUAAUGCACAUUGAACUCUGCAUCAGCUAGAGCAGAAGCCAGGAACGCUGGUCCUUGUGUGCCAUAACCACUGGCACUUUGUAAUCUGAAUUAGAAGCAGGUUUUCCCUCUCCUUUUUCUCUCUCUUUUGUUAUUUUCUCUCCCUCUCUAUUUUAAAAUUUCCCUUUGCUGAUUUUCUGAACUCAAAUCAAUAUCCUUGGUCUUGCUAUUUGCACAAUAGCCACCAUUGAUACCAAGCAGACCUGUCCACAAAACUGAAAAAGUUGGUUUAAGUCUUAAGGUUUGUCCUGCUUCCACUGUUGGAGCUGAGAUGACUGGAAUGAAUUCCCCUCGGAGAGCCAAACGAAAGCUAAUCUCCCUGCUGAUGCAGUUGUCCAUCGAGAGGGCCCUUUCCCAUGGUAAUGUACGGGAGGCAGAGACUGCCUUCUUUGUGCUGGCCACUACAGGCCUGUGGAACAACUCUGAGCCACCAAGCAAAGUCCCUGGUCCCAGCAGAAAUAUCUGACACUGAUGUUCUGCCUUCCAUCACUGGAGGGCUGGGGGUCCCUCUGCCAGCUGGUUGUGGGCUCUCCCAUCCUUCUCCUUUCCAUGCCCUCGCUGCUGUUACCCAUUAGCUUCCCAGCAGGAUGUCUUCUGGCACUGGCCCAUCUUCUGUUUCAUCUCACACAACUGGAUGUGCUUGUUUCUGUUCCCCUCCCCAUAUCGUUCUCAUUUACCAUCUGUUUACCCCAGCCUUUCACACCCACACCCUUGGACCUGUCUCUCUUUUUCCAUUCCUGGCCACUGCGCUCUUUCUAAUCAGCCCAUCUCAUACUUUUCCCCUUUCACUUGCUUCACAUCCCUCUGUUCUUCAUUUGGCUCAUCAACAGCAUCUCCCUUUACUCUUAGCCCAUUUGGCAGCAUCCAUUAUCUUGCUAUUAAUGUAAGGCUUGAGGGCCAGCUCCAGCUCUUGUCCAUUGUGCUGCAGGCCAGGGGACCCUGAGCCUGUAUCCACUCCAUGGUCCUGGACUAACUGCCCUCAAGCAAGCAUCACCCACUGCACAUCACUGAAAGGAUUUCACAGAAAAUGUUCUCGAGUGUUUAGGAAGGGUCUUUCUUCCUCUUCCACUGUGUAGAUGUGUUAGUGAAUCUCUUCUGCACUGCAGGGAGCCCAAAAAAGUCCAGACACAGACUUAAACAUCGAUCAGUGCUCACACACUCACCUCCCACAACAAGGUGCAGGUGAAGUGAAAAUCGUGAGCAGUUUCAUCCCAUGUCUGCAAACACAAGCAGAACUGCUCAGCAAUAAGCCCACAGACAGUGCAGACUCCGGGGGAUGUUGGCCCUGCUGAGUGCUGCAGGAUUUGCUUUAAUGUUUGGAGAUCUUAUCUGCAGAACUUAAUUUUCUGUUCUCAGUGGAGAAUUCAAACCCCCUCUACCCUAAAUUAACAAAUGAUAAAAACACUACAGUUAUGACCCACGGUACAUAUUUUAAGAUGUGCUGUUUAACAUCUUCCUCCCAGAUAAUUCAGAAAUUAUGCAGUGAAGCAAUUGAUGGGUGAGGGCUGUUAUUAACCCACAACUGCACGUUCCCCUCCUGGUGGUAACACACGCACUCACUUGCUUGAAGUAGGAGGACCCUUGCUAUGCAGUGCAGUGCGUGUGAGUGGCCUCUAUCAUAGUGUCACAGUUUGCUGUCCAGCUGAACCUGUCAGUAGAGUUCAGAUGUCUGAGUAACACGUUUCGAAAGCCAAAGCUGUCGGUGGCCACGAGCUGCAGAUGGGCACUCCGCUGUCAGGACAGCCUCUUGUUUGGGCCAUAGCUCUCCAUAGCUCUCGUGUUUAAGUCAGCAGAAGCCUCCGGUGCGCACCUACAGGUAGAAACAAAUCACCCACUGUGAAACAACGCAGACAGCUCUGCCCCUCUGAAGGACACCAACUUAGGAACACAGAGCAACACUUCUCCUAGGCAUGAUGGAUCCAUGUGAACCACCUAUCCUUGAACUUCAAUCCAUGAAAUCUCCACUUUUUAUUUAACUUGGGCUGCUUGUUUUGCCAACUGACUGUAAUUUCAUUUUUGCUUAUUUUCCUUCUUCAACUGACCCGGUAAUUUGACAGUGCUGAUAUAUGGCAAUGGCUGGCAGUAUGUGUGGCAGGACCUGUUCCUUAGGAGAUGCUGAAGCUGUAGACUUCUGCUGUUUUGCUCACUGACAAGGUGCAAUGAUCCAAGUAUGGCCAUAACUUCUGAGAUGUAGGAGAAGUCCUUAGCUUUCCCAUGGGCUUGGGAUAAAUACUUUUUGUUGUCCUCCUACAAGGUGGCAGAAUCAUAGAAUCAUGGAAUGGGUUGGGUUGGAAGGGACCUUUAAGAUCAUUUAGUUCCAACCCCCCUGCUGACUGUAUGAGAUAUCAGAGUUGACAUGGGUGUUAAUAAUAUCAAGAUAUUAGAAUUAGAGUUGAACGAUGGAGGGGAAAAAAAUGAAAACAACAUCAAAAUCUCUGUUUAUAAAAAAAGAUUGUGUAUACUCGGUAUACAUUUGUUGGUAGAUUUCAAGUUGCAGAGUGGCACAGCCACAACUGAACAUAAAUCCAUAUUUGUAUGAGCAAGAUUGUCUUAACUGAACAGUACCGAUAGAGAAAGGCAAUGCGGAGCAGUCUUCCAGCUUCUAAGAGUUAAAUCUGAUCAAGCGUUGGAGUACCAUCAAAAACUCUGGUACUGGAAAAUCAAAUUAAUUAAUGGUUUGAAGUGAGGUGUCACUGCAUAAUAGUUGCUAUAUGUACAUGAAAAGUAUUUUCACCAUACACCUGUAUUCAAAACUUUAUUGUAGGUAAGGAUGUUUGAAAGGUUGCCGUUAUUGGUAAUAAAGUCUGUUACUGUCAUUGCAGAUUUUUUUAACUCAUGCUUUGAUUAAGAGAUGUUCCUCAGUAUUAUCAGAGCACUGAACAUCCAUUGACUGGCUCACAGACUAAAAAAACAUGCAAAAAAAUAGUAUGUAAAUUUGGCUCUUGUUUCCUUGGACCAGCUGUGGAUCUUUUGGAAGGGCCUCAGUGACUUCGAAGCUAUGUCACAUAGUGGUCUGGGUCUCAGAGAGCAAAGAGGAUGCAGAAGCAAUUCCAGGGAAACACUGCCUGAGAAAAUCCAGCAGUGGAACAAAACCAAGAAGCUGGGUCACAGAGAUAACCAGAUGGCUUGGGCACCUCUUCUGUGAACUGAGGGAGUUGGGGUUAUUUAGGCUUGAGAAGUGAAGGCUCUGCAGCAACCUCAUUGCGGAUAUUCCAAUAUCUAAAAGGAGCCUACAGGAAAGAUGAAGAAGGACUCCAUUUGAAAGUGUCGUGACAGGACAAGAGGUAACAGUUUAAAAGUUGAGAAGGGGUAGGUAUAGGUAUAAGGAAGGAAUUCUUUACUCAAAGGGUGAUGAGGGAAUAGAAUGCUGAGGUGUUCAAGGCCAUGCUGGGGAGCUGGGCAGCUUGAUCUAGUGGGUGGUGUCCCUGCCCAUGGAAAGGGAAAGUAGAACUGGGUGGUUUUUAAUGUCUCUUCCAGCCCAAACUAUUCAGUGAUUCUAUGACAACUUCAUUGGAAACUUCUGCUUGUGGAGGACAAUAGAGCAACACCUAAAUGGUGUGGAUAAAAUGAGGCAGUGAUGAGCCGAAAAACAUCAGCAUAGUGAUCAUGUCCAGUGGGUAGAGCUGCACUCGGAGCUGGAGAAGCUUCCUUCCAGCAGUCAGGAUGCUCAAACAUGCAAGAGGUCUGUAGCCUUGUCUGAAGGAAUGAAACCUGUGAGAAUCACAUCCCCUGGAGAGGGUCAGAGAAACAUAUGCAGAGAACACAAGUUGCUUCACAGAACAGUAUGGAGAGUAAGCAAGAAGUAAAUGCAGCAGAUAUGAAAACCACUACCCAGAAUAUGAGCAGAAGAUGAAAAUUACAGCAGGCAGUCCAAGGUGGAAUUAAGAAGGCUGCAUUUCUAUAUGCCAGCAUUGCUGGGUUUCUCCCUGGUGAGUCCGAGCAAAUAUUUGACCAGAAAUCACAGAAUCAUAGAACCAUUCAGGUUGGAAAAGACCUCAGAGAUCAUCGAGUCCAACCACAACCUAACUCUACUACCCUAACUCUACAAACUUCUGCUAAGUCAUGUCCCUGAGCACCACAUCCAAAUGGUUUUUAGACACAUCCAGGAAUGGUGACUCAACCACCUCCCUGGGGAGCCUAUUCCAGUGCUUAACAACCCUUUCUGUAAAGAAGUGUUUCCUGAUAUCCAACCUAAACUUACCCUGGCACAACUUGAGGUCAUUUCCCCUCGUCCUGUCACCUGUCACCAGUGAGAAGAGACCAACCCCGCUCUCGCUGUAAGCACCCUUCAGAUACUGGAAGAGAGCAAUAAGGUCUCCACUCAGCCUCCUCUUCCCCAGGCUGAACAGCCCCAGUUCCUUUCAGCCUCUCCUCAUGGGGCAUAUUCUCCAAGCCCUUCACCAGCCUUGUUACCCUUCUUUGGACCUGCUCCAGCACCUCAAUGUCCUUUCUGUAUGGAGAUGCCCAAAACUGAACACAGUACUCGAGGUGAGGCCUCACCAAUGCCGAGUACAGAGGCAGGAUGACUUCUCUAGUCCUGCUCACCACACCAUUCCUGAUACAAGCCAUCACUUGCAAGUGGAUGUUUUUUAAUGGUAUUAAAUAUCAGAAGAUUGAUAUUGCUUAAUAAGAUGAAUGGCAGCAUUUUCAAAUAUGUUGGGCCUUUUUAUUAAGUGCUUUACAAGCUAUCAGAGGCCUGGUAUUUUUGUGGCAGCUUACUGAAAGGGACCAGGAACGUGGUGUGUGUCCCCUGAGUGCUCGAUAUAGUGAUUUAUCAUCUCUCUAGAAGGAAUGGUGUGCUAACAUUGGAGGAACUGAUGUACUGAGAUAGUGCAGAUGACUUCUUGCUCAUGGAGUUAGACCAACGUCAUUGAACCAAGGGUGCAUGUGUCCUCUCAUUUCACCUGAUUUCUGGUUGACAGAGUCAAGAUGAGGAAAUUGUAUUUAAUAAACAAUCUACAGCAUCAAAUUUCCAAAUCUCUAUGAGGGAUAGAAAGGCGAAUCACAGAAUGGAUGAUCCCAAAUUCUUCGUGUUUCUACAGAAGUCACCAGAUGAGAAGUGACCCUAGGCUGUGACAAGUUAAUUUAAAAAUUAGGGCAAGUUUGUACUAAGAAAGUUUGGGUGCAUACAGCAUCUGUUAUCAGUCUGUUCUGAAAGCAGAAAUCAUGAUGUCGGUGAAGUACAUUAAUGAGCUCUUCACUCUAAAACCAGCAAAUCCAGCUAGUAAAACCAGAGACAAGAAUAGAGGGAAGCCUUUCAGACAGAUAAACCGUUUUCAAGGAAAAAAGAAAGUACAAUCUUGGAAAGCAUUCAGAGCUCCAGGCUUUGUGGAGUGCUGUGUUAUUGUGCCAGCUCUUCAGGAGAAGUCUGGCCUGGGAUGUUCCCACCCACUGCCCAAUGAGUCACUGGGGUGAUCUGCUGGGAUGACUGAGCCAUGCAUCAUCAGCCAGAUACUCCACUUCUUACAAUCUGCAUCCAUGGGCUCAGCAUGGAGAAAGAGAUGUCGCUCAAUGACAAACUGGAUAAUCACAGAAUCAUAGAAUGUCUUGGAGUGGAAGGGCACGAUUGCCACCUAAUAGAUAAGGUGCUUGUCCUUCUCCUAUAGCUUGUCUUAAUAGCAUACCAUUACUGUUAUUUAAAGUACCAGCUAGGUACUAAAGGAAGACUGGACAAACCAUUCACUGACUUGGAGGGAACAUCUGAUGCAUCGUUUAUGAACUUCACUGCUUAGUGUGCUUUGACGCAGAUGGGAUUCACUCAUACUGAUGCACAUCUUUGGUUCACCAUGUUAUGUUUAUUGCUCUGUUCAUACUGACUCAGCGCUGCAUCAAUCUCUCAAUACCAGAAGACUGCUAGAUGUCCUUGUUUUUCUAUCGUUUAUUGUUAUCAUCACACAAUGUUCUUGGCCUUUUGCCAAUCACACCUGGUUCUGAGUGGACCAUUACAUGGAUCUUGUAUAUCUUUCCGGCCUGGGGGAAGGGGAGAAUCACAUUCUAUCUGAAUAGCCUCACUGCAACACCUAUGUCUACAUAAGUACAUGGCAGAAAGAAGAGAACAGAUGGAGGCCUCUUCAGGGGAACCUUCUGUGCUAUGAGAGAAGAAAGGGCUCGUACAUGAGAACCAUAAUGGACAGAAUUACAUAUCUGCCCAUAAUUAGAGUUCCUGACCCUAACAUUACGAGUGGGUCUUACUUUCUUCUCUGGGGUCAUUCCUUAUGAGAAUGAAGUGACCCUACACUCACAACCACAGCUUUGACCCAAACUAAAAAUAUGCAUCCCACAGGAUUCAUGUUCUACACCCUGAAGCUGGCCUCGAGGAAGAGGUAAUCCUCAAAGCCCAAGCAGAUGUCCAACAUAACUAUAACAGCAUUAGGAUGGCUUACUUACAAAAAGGAAUUCUCAAAAAACUUUUGUUCUAAGGAUCUCGUGGGAUGCUACUGAAUUCUUCACAAGCAAGAUCAUCCUUUACUACCAACCCACACCCAUUUUGUGGACACGCCAAAUGAUUUCUGGGAAGAACAGCCUAUGCUUCGUAGUGUUUCUUUUUCAGAAGCACCAAAUCCUCCUCUUUUGAUUACUCCUCUCAAGCACCCCCCAGUCCAUCUACUCACUUAAUAUUCCCACAGUCCCUUAUUGCAUGACUUUUGCCCUUACCAGCUGCUCAUAAUAUUGCCUCUGGAAAUAAAAUGUGAACUCCAAAGUGUUUCUUUCCUGUACUAUAACAGAGCGUUCUCUUUCCCUUUAAGAUGGCUACUGUUCCGUUCUCUCCUCCAGCUGAUGGCAUCUCAGAGGUUAUAAGCAGGAAACUCAGAGCAAAGGCUAUUUCAGUGCAGUGGGUGACACAAAGAGUGAUCUUGGCACAGAGAGUGCAUGUCUUUACAUCCCAGCAACACCCUGAAUCUCUAUAGAACUGCAGCCCAAAUACCUUGAGCCUCAGUAGAGCCUUUCCAUAAAUCAAGACAUUUCAAAAUGCAGACAUGUGAGUAACAAGAAAAAUGAAAUUGUAGAAACAGAAUGAUUUUGGCACGAACCACAGAAGGCAAGAAAGUCAUUCCAGGGCUGGUGAAAAGUGAUAUCAAUACUGGCCAUUUAUGGUGGAAUAUUUUUAGAGAGCAUAGAAUAACAUCACACAGCUGACACACUCAACACCUUUGCUGGACGUUGGUAAAACCAGAAAUAACAUAUUUCAAAGAAAAGGCAGACGUUUGUAUUCAAAUGGCAGUAGCUUAAUGGUCACCCAUAUGGAUGUCUUUAGGAUUCACAAAACUCAUAGUUGGAACUGAGAAAUCAUGUUUAACAUGCAGUAUCAUGAGCUGGAAACCUCCAGUUUCUCUUCCUUGGGUUUGCUUACUGGUAUCAUACUCAUUUGAUGUGGGCUUACCAUUACAGAUGUUUCUUCAGCUUCCAGGACGGCUGCCUUUGCAAAACAUUAAUUACCCCAAGGGAAGCCUUCUGCCAAAUCUAAGUCUGUCCUUCCUUGUUCUUAUUCCUCUUUCCAUAUGUUUCUUUCUAGGGCUGUUGUUAAUUUUUUCUUUUCUUAACAAUAACAUCACCUCUCCGUUUUGGUUUGGGAAGCACAUUGGGCAAAGCGGAGACCUCACACCAGCUUUCUGCAAGUCUCUGCACUGUAAUCCCUGGCCAAUGUUGUAAUAAGAUACAGAGUGGUUGCAACCUGUUCAAGAAACGACCACCAACAUCAGUGCCAUUAAUGUGGCAUCAUUUGGG
Long non-coding RNA from Gallus gallus (chicken), 8144 nucleotides. The record is from Ensembl. Lineage: Eukaryota; Metazoa; Chordata; Aves; Galliformes; Phasianidae.